This 447-nucleotide ribosomal RNA is filed under the name uncultured bacterium. Its description in RNAcentral is "partial 16S ribosomal RNA". It matches the Rfam family "Bacterial small subunit ribosomal RNA", at positions 29 to 523 of the family's 1533-position model. The record is from RNAcentral.
AACGAACGCUGGCGGCAGGCCUAAAACAUGCAAGUCGAACGCCCCGCAAGGGGAGUGGCGCACGGGUGAGUAACGCGUGGGAACGUGCCCCUUAGUACGGGACAACGUCGGGAAACUGACGCUAAUACCGUAUAAUAUCUCCGGAUCAAAGAUUUAUCGCUGAGGGAGCGGCCCGCGUCUGAUUAGCUAGUUGGUGAGGUAAAGGCUCACCAAGGCUACGAUCAGUAGCAGGUCUGAGAGGAUGAUCUGCCACACUGGGACUGAGACACGGCCCAGACUCCUACGGGAGGCAGCAGUUAGGAAUAUUGGACAAUGGGGGAAACCCUGAUCCAGCCAUGCCGCGUGUGUGAUGAAGGCCCUAGGGUUGUAAAGCACUUCCGUUGGGGAUGAUAAUGACCGUACCCAAAGAAGAAGCCACGGCUAAAUUCGUGCCAGCAGCCGCCGUAA